RNAcentral lists this small nuclear RNA (296 nucleotides) under Octodon degus (degu). Its description in RNAcentral is "7SK RNA (ENSODEG00000024518.1)". It matches the Rfam family "7SK RNA". From Rfam's summary of the family: 7SK was discovered as an abundant small nuclear RNA in the mid-70s but a possible function has only recently been suggested. Two independent studies have found that 7SK RNA binds the CDK9/cyclin T complex (known as elongation factor P-TEFb). Lineage: Eukaryota; Metazoa; Chordata; Mammalia; Rodentia; Octodontidae. The record is from Rfam by way of RNAcentral.
AGAUGUGAGGGCGAUCUGGUUGCGACAUCUGUCAUCACUGAUCACCAGGGUUGAUUCGGCUGAUCUGGAUGGCUAGGCGGUAUCCCCUCCUCCCUCAACGCUCCACGUGCGUCUCUCCUGAAGUUGCAUCGGUCGAACAGGUCGGCCACCCCCGAUAGAGGAGGACCGUUGCUUGGUCAAGGGCCUAUGAACAGCUGCGCUCCCUGCUAGAACCUCCAAACAAGCUCUCUAAAGGAAAAGGAAAAUAGAAAUGAGGCAUCACUAUUGUCGAGAGGAAUUUGUUGGGGUUUUUCUCU